GAUGAAGAACGUAGCGAAAUGCGAUAAGUAGUGUGAAUUGCAGAAUUCAGUGAAUCAUCGAAUCUUUGAACGCACAUUGCGCCCUUUGGUAUUCCAAAGGGCAUGCCUGUUCGAGCGUCAUUUGUACCUUCAAGCUUUGCUUGGUGUUGGGUGUUUGUCUCGCCUUUGCGUGUAGACUCGCCUUAAAAUAAUUGGCAGCCGGCGUAUUGAUUUCGGAGCGCAGUACAUCUCGCGCUUUGCACUCAUAACGACAGCGUCCAAAAGUACAUUUUACACUCUUGACCUCGGAUCAGGUAGGGAUACCCGCUGAACUUAAGCAUAUCAAUAAGCGGAGGA
This 336-nucleotide unclassified non-coding RNA is filed under the name soil metagenome. Its description in RNAcentral is "partial contains 5.8S ribosomal RNA, internal transcribed spacer 2, and large subunit ribosomal RNA". The stretch from base 1 to 120 matches the Rfam family "5.8S ribosomal RNA", at positions 35 to 154 of the family's 154-position model. The record is from RNAcentral.